GACGAACGCUGGCGGCGUGCCUAAUACAUGCAAGUCGAGCGAAUCUGAUGGGAGCUUGCUCCUCGAUGAUUAGCGGCGGACGGGUGAGUAACACGUGGGUAACCUGCCUGUAAGACUGGGAUAACUCCGGGAAACCGGGGCUAAUACCGGAUAACUUUUUUCUUCGCAUGAGGGAGAAUUGAAAGAUGGCUUCGGCUAUCACUUACAGAUGGACCCGCGGCGCAUUAGCUAGUUGGUGAGGUAACGGCUCACCAAGGCGACGAUGCGUAGCCGACUUGAGAGGGUGAUCGGCCACACUGGGACUGAGACACGGCCCAGACUCCUACGGGAGGCAGCAGUAGGGAAUCUUCCGCAAUGGACGAAAGUCUGACGGAGCAACGCCGCGUGAGUGAUGAAGGUUUUCGGAUCGUAAAACUCUGUUGUUAGGGAAGAACAAGUAUCGUUCGAAUAGGGCGGUACCUUGACGGUACCUAACCAGAAAGCCACGGCUAACUACGUG
RNAcentral lists this ribosomal RNA (499 nucleotides) under uncultured bacterium. RNAcentral describes it as "partial 16S ribosomal RNA". It matches the Rfam family "Bacterial small subunit ribosomal RNA", at positions 28 to 507 of the family's 1533-position model. The record is from RNAcentral.